Molecule: ribosomal RNA, 468 nt
Filed under: uncultured bacterium
Lineage: Bacteria
Description: partial 16S ribosomal RNA
Rfam family: Bacterial small subunit ribosomal RNA
Source: RNAcentral
GACGAACGCUGGCGGCGUGCUUAACACAUGCAAGUCGAACGGAAAGGCCCUGCUUUUGUGGGGUGCUCGAGUGGCGAACGGGUGAGUAACACGUGAGUAACCUGCCCUUGACUUUGGGAUAACUUCAGGAAACUGGGGCUAAUACCGGAUAGGAGCUCCUGCUGCAUGGUGGGGGUUGGAAAGUUUCGGCGGUUGGGGAUGGACUCGCGGCUUAUCAGCUUGUUGGUGGGGUAGUGGCUUACCAAGGCUUUGACGGGUAGCCGGCCUGAGGGGGUGACCGGCCACAUUGGGACUGAGAGACGGCCCAGACUCCUACGGGAGGCAGCAGUGGGGAAUAUUGCACAAUGGGCGGAAGCCUGAUGCAGCAACGCCGCGUGCGGGAUGACGGCCUUCGGGUUGUAAACCGCUUUCGCCUGUGACGAAGCGGGAGUGACGGUAAUGGGUAAAGAAGCACCGGCUAACUACGUG